RNAcentral lists this non-coding RNA (114 nucleotides) under Pseudopedinella elastica. The record is from RNAcentral. Lineage: Eukaryota; Dictyochophyceae; Pedinellales.
UAUAUUUCUUGGUUUUCCUUCUUCUUCUUUCUUCUUCUUCUUCUCAAAUCUACUUUUGAAGUAGGCCUUGCUCCAGUUGGGUAUUUGGCCAAGUAGAAAAAGAAGAAAGAAGGC